CCCAACCACGCAGGAUUUUUCAUUCGCGAGCAUAUAAAUCACUUUUCGUGACUCUUCUGUCGAUGGACACCACUCACACUGGCACCCAAAGUCCUACAAGCGAGCUCCUUUCUUCCAUCGCCAGGUGUCAGUCGACCAGCUUUCCCCUCCAGUCCUAUUAGCCACCCAUAACCUCCAAUGGCCUAGGGCUAAGGAUGUCAUAAUAUGGGGUAUAAAAUGAUGCAUUCUUUCCGAUUUCUUCUUCAAUUCUUCAUUUUUUUGAUUAAAUAGAAAACCAGAGAGAGAGAAUCGAAUUUAGCAGGAAUCUAGUGAGAGAAAGAGAGUAAAAAUUGAGAGAAGAAGAGUGCAAUAAAUAGAGUGAGUGUGUACAUGUGCUGCCUAGAGGAGAAGAUGAUUUCUUAUCUUCUGAGAAAUUGCAAAUUAAACUCAAAAACCAGACUGGCACAGUCACCGCUGCACAGGAAUGAACAAGUGGUGAACUAUCCCAAGUGGUUGGAUUAUACAAUGGAUAUCGAUAUCUGUAGAUGAGGAAGAAAGUGAGGAACCGCAGGCUGACCUACCCUUGGAAGUCUAUGAGGAUCCC
This is a long non-coding RNA of Carica papaya (papaya), 583 nucleotides long. RefSeq lists it as uncharacterized. NCBI's taxonomy places the organism in Eukaryota, Viridiplantae, Streptophyta, Magnoliopsida, Brassicales, Caricaceae. The record is from RefSeq and is a predicted model, not a curated record.